Trifolium pratense (red clover) is the source of this 2343-nucleotide long non-coding RNA. RefSeq lists it as uncharacterized. The record is from RefSeq and is a predicted model, not a curated record. The transcript has 3 exons. Lineage: Eukaryota; Viridiplantae; Streptophyta; Magnoliopsida; Fabales; Fabaceae.
AUUCUUUCAACAACGAUCUCUCUCUCUCUCUCUAACAAAAAAACUCAUCUUCCAUUCAUUCAACAACAACUCUCCUCUCUCUCUCUCUCUCACACACACAAAAAAAAAAAAAAUCCCUUCUUUCGAUUCAUUCUUUCAUCUUUGGAUCCACUCCUUCAACUCUUUCAACAACAACAAGUAUCAUUUUUCGAUCCAUUCAUUCCACAACAACAAUCUCCUCUAUCACAAAAAACUCAUCUUUCGACCAUUCCUUCAACAACAACAACAACUCUCUCUUUCAUUUACUCUUUAGGUGUCAAACUCUUUAAAUUCAAGUGUCGUACUCAAACAGCAAUUUUCAAACAAAUUAAGAAUGAUGAGAAUUUGGGACCAGUUUUAGCCAACAGAACAGUCAAGGCACUAAUUGAUAAGUAUGGAAAAUGGGUGAAAGAUGGCAGCCAACCUUCCCUUACCAAAGGUGGUUGUCCUGUUGUAGAAAAGACUGGUGGUGCUGAAGAGGAUUCAAGGCAGAAGACUGUUGGUGCUGAAGAGGAACGUGGUGUUGCAGGCAUUGCUACUGCCUUAGAUGAUUUGAUUGACUGUUUGGGUGAGACAACAGAGAAGCUGAAGAAAAUCAGGGAAAAUCUCCUAAAAAAGAUGUGAUUGAUUUGGAUCUUUGGAAACAGUUGAGUCUUUCUUCGUUCUUGGUGGUUACUUGAAGGUGAAAGUUAGGCUCUUGAGGAUCUGGCACUGAUGCCUUAUUUUUGUAUAUGAAGAAAAUUUGUUUGGCAGGAGAGAUCUCACUUUGUGUGACAAUAGAUUUUCAGACAGAAAAUAGGCACUCGUGAAUGGCGAUGGAUACUUUGUAGCUAUAAGAUAGUAGAUUGUGAUGUUUAUUCGUUUUGUUAGUUCAUGUUGUUGAUGUUUAGGCAGGGUAGAUUCAUGAAUGUCUGGUGAAAUUUUAUGUUGAUGUUUAGGCAGGGUAGAUUCAUGAAUGGCUGGUGUAGUUUUAAUGUGAGGUUAUUCCGUGCUUCUCUUUGAACUUGUUCAUGGAAAUGACCUUGAGAUUUGAGAGUAAUUUUUGAAUUUCUUGCUUCCAAUUUCUCUUGAAUAGAGGACAACUCCUUUAAACUUGAGUGCAGCUUUGCUCCUUUUCCUAGAGCUCCUUUUCUUCCUUUUCCUUUAAUUGAUUGAGGACAUGCGGCAAAAAUGAAUCUGAUGGUUGGAAUUUAAUGACUUUAAUUAAAUAAUUAAAAAUUAAAAACAUCUUCUUCCUCCUUCGUCACUUUGUCAACCGCAGCCACCGUCACUGCCACCCCCUUCCAGCCGUCAUAGGGCGGCGGUUUUCCUCCCCUUUUCUCAAUCGACCACCACGCACACGCACCACCUCAACAUCUUGUCAUUUCGCAUUCGCCGCCGGCCCGUUUUGCCGCAAUGACAGAACCCAACCAUGUCGAAGCUGCUGCAAAGCAACCCAGCGUCAUUACUAAUAUUCAUGAUCAAGUGAAAAUAGCCAGAGUCGUGAUGACGAGGUGGUGUGUGGAGAAGAAUGGAGGAAGGAUGCCGCUGUUGUGAUGACGGCGAGCGGCGGCGAGGGGAAGAUGAAACGAUGAUUGUACAGAGAAAGAAGAAGAAGAAGAAGCGGCGCAUGUGUCGUUUCUGGGUUCCUUUUCUUAUGCUUUUGUUAAAAGAAUAAUUAAUUGUAACCUUUAAAUCUCAACCCUCUAUUUUUAGUUUCCCACAUGUCAUUCAUCUGUUCAAUGGACAGGAAUAAAAGGAGCUAGUAGAAAUGGAGCAUAGCUGCGCUCUUUAAACUUAGGGUCUGUUUUGUUUAGUUUAAUAUUUUGAUGAGGAGGGGAGGGAAGCAAAUCCCUCUUUAGUUAAUUUUAGAUUUAGAUUGAGGGAUAGAAGAUGUUUAUAUACUUAGUAUGUGCUUGGUUACACGUUAGUAAAAAUUAAAUGAUAGUGAGAGUGGUCAAAACUAUUUGCCCGAGUUAGAAGGAUGUUUGACUCUUGGUUUUGAAAUCGAUUCUCUACUCUCUCUUAUGUGUAGCUUUGAACUUGAAUUGAUUCUCUAUGUCAUGCCACCAUUUUGGAUUCCAAUAAUUUUUGAUAGUUCAAGAAAAAUUUACUUUGUGUUGAAAGUUGAUACAGGGAGGGAGAAAAAAGACAUUACAAAUUAAACUGCAAAAAACUGCAAUAAAUCCCUCCCAAAUGGACUGUUAUGGAAAGUUCUUUUUCUAGUACACAGUGAACUAAGUAGUAUCUUUGGGUUUGUGGCUUAAGAGUGAAUAGAAAUGGAAAAUAUUGAUUGAAGCAUGUGUGGCUGACUAGUUUUUCUUGAAUAUAUUUGUAGUGUUAUCA